CUCAGGUAAAACCCAUGCAGGCUUUGUGGGUUUAAUGGCUUUUGAAGACCUUGAGAGCCUGCACAGCCGCUCACUUUCAUUUCAUACUCUUACAAACACCGGGGGAGCAAUGAUCAUCUGAACGGUUAAAAUGAUUUAGGGAAGUGAAAGUUACUUUUUUUUUCUUUUUCUUUCCAGUCUCGAAAUUGCUUCAAAUCAUUUGCCACUCUGAGUGGACUCCAGUCCCUCCAGCACCCAUUGUCCCCCUGUGGCUUCCCAGGACCCAUUUCCUGCCCUUGGAUUUCCUUUUUAAUUUCCCAAACAAGAUUGUAUUUUACAUUUCAGAUAUUACUCUGAAGAACAACAAUGAAGACCACCACAGUGAAAAAUGCUCAGGACAAAAUCAAGUCAUAAACAAGCAAGGACAUGGGAGUCAACCUCAGGAUUGGUCUGCGUGGUGUAUCCAGGGAAAUUCACCCUUGACUCCGGCCAGGAGGGGCACCUAAAGUUAAGUCUUAGUUCAAGAUCUAACUCAUCCAGCUGGGGUGGUGCUGGUGCGUGCCUCUGAUCUCAGCACUCUUGAAGGUAAGGUGAUGAUGGAGACGUGGAGAUCAGCUUGGGUUACAAAGUGGGACUCAGUCGCAAAACAGACAGACACAUAAACCAGCAAAGCCAAUCUCUGUGAUCCAGUUGUGACUAAG
RNAcentral lists this long non-coding RNA (680 nucleotides) under Rattus norvegicus (Norway rat). RNAcentral's name for it is "long non-coding RNA NONRATT032849". The record is from RNAcentral. Lineage: Eukaryota; Metazoa; Chordata; Mammalia; Rodentia; Muridae.